Molecule: small RNA, 90 nt
Organism: Candidatus Pelagibacter ubique HTCC1062
Lineage: Bacteria; Pseudomonadati; Pseudomonadota; Alphaproteobacteria; Candidatus Pelagibacterales; Candidatus Pelagibacteraceae
Rfam family: SAR11_0636 sRNA
Source: Rfam
GGUUGUAUUUUGAGUCUGUAACUGAAUCAAAGGUGAAUCAAAACGUGAACAUUGAAACUACAUUUUGUGCUCUUGUGGAUAACUUCAACC